Long non-coding RNA from Felis catus (domestic cat), 619 nucleotides. RefSeq lists it as uncharacterized. The transcript has 2 exons. Lineage: Eukaryota; Metazoa; Chordata; Mammalia; Carnivora; Felidae. The record is from RefSeq and is a predicted model, not a curated record.
CUGUUAAUCAUACAUAACCUGUUUUAUGGCUUACCAACUGAAUUUAUCUUGUUCAGUUUAUCUGUUGUAUAUACAGGUUUGACUACCAUCCUUAAGGACAAUAUUUAAGUUUAGGUUCUCCAGAAGGAACACCCUGUGAUGGAAGUGUAUGUGUAAGAUCUCCAUUAGAGGGUACUAUUGGGAGCAACAUCUGAGGAAAAGAGGGUAAAGAAACAGGAUUGGAAAAAGGAGAAGUUGAGUUGCAUUACAGUCCUAAUUAUGCUCAGCAGAUCCUGCAGGGAGUCCAGUUGAGAUGGUUGUUAAGAGUUUUUCCACUUUGGGGCAAGGGGAUUGAGUGUUUUACCUGUAAGUUGAUCUAUCAUUGGAUAGAUCUCUAUCCAAUUGGAUAGAUCUCUAUCAUGUCUCUAUAAGGAGACAUGACUUGAGCAAGCUCAAAGUCAAGGGGCAGAGAAGUACACUCCACCUCUAAUAGAAAAAAAACCUAAAAAAUUGGAAAAGGGAAAAGGCAUGAAUUCAGGGAAGGGUAAUGUGUUGAGGUCAAUCAUUCAUUCUACCACAGUCCACCUUUUUAGCCAUAAAUAUUCAUAUCUUUCUCAAAUAUAAAAUAAGCUUACUACCA